GUAGGGAAUAUUGGGCAAUGGUCGGAAGACUGACCCAACCAUGCCGCGUGCAGGAAGACGGCCCUCUGGGUUGUAAACUGCUUUUAUCUGGGAAGAAAAAGGCCAUGCGUGGCAAAUUGCCGGUACCAGAUGAAUAAGCACCGGCUAACUCCGUGCCAGCAGCCGCGGUAAUACGGAGGGUGCGAGCGUUGUCCGGAUUGAUUGGGUUUAAAGGGUUCGUAGGCGGCUGAUUAAGUCAGCGGUGAAAGACUUCGGCUUAACCGGAGCAGUGCCGUUGAUACUGGUUGGCUUGAGUGUCGGAGGGGUACAUGGAAUUGAUGGUGUAGCGGUGAAAUGCAUAGAUACCAUCAGGAACACCGAUAGCGAAGGCAUUGUACUGGCCGACAACUGACGCUGAUGCACGAAAGUGUGGGGAUCGAACAGGAUUAGAUACCCCGGUAGUCC
Molecule: ribosomal RNA, 444 nt
Filed under: uncultured bacterium
Lineage: Bacteria
Description: partial 16S ribosomal RNA
Rfam family: Bacterial small subunit ribosomal RNA
Source: RNAcentral